UCCGCCAUCAGCUGAGGAUUGAUGGUCACAUCAAUCCUCAGCUGAUGGCGGAUU
Molecule: microRNA precursor, 54 nt
Filed under: Triops cancriformis
Lineage: Eukaryota; Metazoa; Arthropoda; Branchiopoda; Notostraca; Triopsidae
Description: microRNA tcf-mir-10343 precursor
Source: miRBase by way of RNAcentral